GUUCUAUUGGCCUGCCUGUUUUUAUGCCAGUAUCAUGCUGUUUUGCUUGCUAUAACUUUGUAUUAUAUUUUGAAAUCAGAUAGUGUGAUGCUUCCAGCUUUGCUCUUCUUGCUCAAGAUUGUUUUGGCUAUUUAGGGUCUCUUGUGGUUCCAUAAAGUUGUAGACUUGUUCUUUUUUUUUUAAUGCUUCUGUGAAGAAAGUGAAUGGUAUUUUGAUAGAAAUUGCACAGAAUUUGUAGAUCAGUUUGGGUUGUAUGAACAUUUUAACAAUAUUAAUUCUUCUAAUCCAUGAACAUGUGAUAUUUUUACAUUUAUUUGUGUCUUCCUCAAUUACUUUAAUUAUUAUGUGAAGUGAAAUAAGUCAGGCACAGAUGGACAGAUACCACAGGAUCUCACUCAUAUGUAUAAUCUAAAAACCUUGAUUUUAUAGAAGUAGAGAGGAGAAUGGUGGUUAUCAGAGGCAGGGUAGUUACUGAGAGGGAGAGUACGGAGAUGUUGAUGAAGUGAUACAUGGUUAUAGUUAGAUAGUAGGAAUAAAGUUCAGGGGAUCUAUUAUACUGCAAGGUUACUAUAGCUAGUGACAAUCUAUAGUGUUCUUAAAAAAUGUAGAGAGUGGAUGUUAUGUGCUAUUGCCAUGACAAUAACUACAUGAGGUAAUGCAUUUGUUAAUUAGCUAGACUUUGCUAUUCCAUAAUGUAUACAUACAUCAAAACAUCACGUUACACAUGACAAAACAUACAAUGUUAUCCAUCAACUUAAAAUAGUAAAUCUAGGAGCUUUUUGGAGGUGUCUUUAGGGUUUCCUAAGUAUGUGAUCUUAUCAUCAGCAAACAACAACAGUUUGACUUCCUCUUUACUGAUAUGGAUGCCAUUUAUUUCUUUCUCUUGUCUGAUUGCUCUGGCUAGGACUUCCAGUACUAUGUUGAAUAGAAGUGGUAAGAAUGGGCGUCCUUGUCUUGUUGCAGUUCUCAAGUGGAAUGCUUUUAACUUUUCCUCGUUCAGUGUAAUGUCGGUUGUGGGUUUGUCAAUAGGAUUGGUACCAAUUCUUUGAAUGUCUGAUAUAAUAUAAUUCAGUUGUAAAUCUCUCUGGUCCUGGACUUUUUUUUGGUGGAAUAGUGUCAAUAGGAUUGGUACCAAUUCUUCUUGGAAUGUCUGAUAUAAUAUAACUGAGCUGUGAAUCUGUCUGGUACUGGACUUUUUUUUCUGGGCAAGUUUUAAAUUACCAUUUCAAUCUUACUGCUUGUUAUUGGUCGAUUCAGAGUUUCUAUUUCUUCCUGGUUUAUUCUAGGAGGGUUGUAUAUUUCCAGGAAUUUUCCAUCUCCUCUAUGUUUUCUGGCUUAUGCAUGUAAAGGUAUUCAUAGUAACCUUGACUGAUCUUUUGUAUUUCUGUAUUAUGGGUUGUAAUAUCUCUCAUUUCAUUUCUAAUUGAACUUACUUGGAUCUUCUCUUUUCUUGGUUAAUUUCACGAAUGGGGUAAUCAAUCUUAUUUAUCUUUUCAGAGAACCAACUUUUUGUUUCAUUUAUCUUCUGUAUUUUUUUUUUGUUUCAUUUAAUUCUUUUCUGAUCUUUGUCAUUUCUUUUCUUCUGCUGGUUUAGGUUUGGUAUGUUCUUGUUUCUCUAGUUCCUUGAGGUGUGACCUUAGAUUGUCUAUUUGUGCUCUUUCAGACUUUUUGAUGUAGGCAUUUAGGGCUAUGAACUUUCCUCUUAGCAAUCCUUUGCUGUAUCCCAGAAAUUUUGAUAGGUUGUGUCACUAUUAUCAUUCAGUUUGAAGAAGUUUUAAAUUUCCAUAUUGAUUUCAUUCAGCAAAGUUUCAGGAUACAAGAUUAAUGUAUACAAAUCAGUAACUCUGUUAUAUACCAACAGUGACCAAGCUAAGAAUCAAAUCAAGAACUCAGCGCCUUUUAUAAUAGCUGCAAAAAAUAAAAUACUUAGGAAUAUACCUAAUCAAGGAGAUGAAAGACCUCUAGAAGGAAAACUACAAAACACUGCUAAAAGAAAUCAUGGACAACACAAACAAAUAGAAAUACAUCCCAUGCCCAUGGAUGGGUAGAAUCAAUAUUGUGAAAAAGACCAUACUGCUAAAAGCAAUCUAAAAAUUCAAAGCAAUUCUCAUCAAAAUACCAUCAUCAUUCUUCACAGAACUAGAAAAAAAAAAAAACAAAACCCUAAAAUUCACGUGGAACCAAAAAAGAGCCUGCAUAGCCAAAGAAAGACUAAGCAAAAAGAACCAAUCUGGAGGCCAUAGUCACCAAAACAGCAUGGUACUAGUAUAAAAAUAGGCAUGAAGACCAAUGGAACAGAAUGGAGAACCCAGAAAUGAAGCCAAAUACUUACAGCCAACUGAUCUUUGACAAAGUAAAGAAAAACAUAAAUUGGGGAAAGGACACCCUAUUCAACAAAUGGUGCUAGAAUAAUUAACAAGCUACAUGUGGAAGAAUGAAACUGGAUCCUCAUCCUUCACCUUACACAAAAAUUGACUCAAGAUGAAUCAAGGACUUAAAUCUAAGACCUGAAACCAUAAAAAUUCUAGACAGUAACAUCGGAAAAAUCCCUUCUAGACAUUGGCUCAGGCAAGGAUUUCAUGAACAAGAACCCAAAAGCAAAUACAACAAAAACAAAGAUGAAUAGAUGGGGACCUAAUUAAACUAAAUUAAGCACAGCAAAAUUUUGUGAUUGUCUGUUUACCCUGCAGAGUGUUUCUUUUGCCGUGCAAAUUUGAGUUUUUGCACGGCAAAAGAAACAAUCUGGAGGGUAAACAGACAACCCACAAAGUGGGAGAAAAUCUUUGCAAUCUGUAUAUCUGACAAAGAACUAACAUCCAGAAUCUACAAGCAACUCAAAUCAGUGAGAUAAAAAACAGAUAAUCCCAUCAAAAAGUGGGCUAAGGACAUGAAUAUAUAUGUAUCAAAAGAAGAUAUACAAAUGACCAACAAACAGAUGAAGAAGUGUUCAACAUCACCAAUGAUCAGGGAAAUGCAAAUCAAAACUGCAAUGUGAU
This is a long non-coding RNA of Papio anubis (olive baboon), 2996 nucleotides long. The record is from Ensembl. Lineage: Eukaryota; Metazoa; Chordata; Mammalia; Primates; Cercopithecidae.